This 374-nucleotide long non-coding RNA is filed under the name Sorghum bicolor (sorghum). RNAcentral describes it as "long non-coding RNA (SBIC_LNC005794)". Lineage: Eukaryota; Viridiplantae; Streptophyta; Magnoliopsida; Poales; Poaceae. The record is from RNAcentral.
UAACUGGCAAUAUGGGUGCUUGUUCUUGUUGAUUGAAAUGAAAGUAAUUCUUGCUCCAAUGCUUUUUUGAAAGUGAGAUACUGUUUGAUGCAGGCGCAAAAGAAGAACUUAAACAAACUGAGAACAAAGCUAUUAAAGCAACUGAAAAAGAAGAGGGUGAACCAACUGAGAUGCACGUGAAAGGACCAUCCAGCAGGAAGAAGUAUGUGAAGCGUCCUGUCAACCUGUUUGAUGCGUGAUGCUUCAGCAGGAAGAAGUAAAGUGUGUAUGGUGUCCUGUCAACCUGUUAGAUGCGGACCGGUGAUGCUUCAUGCAGAUACUAGGAUUGGGGAGCUUGGUGAAUCGAUUUAUGAGAAUUAUGCCAAAAAUAAUUA